AAAUGGUUACAUCAAUCAUUAGUAGAUUGACAAAGAAUCUUACUGAUAAUGAUCGAGAGGUGGGUGAGCAGACACUAAACAAGAUUUUUAUUAAGCAAAAGCGUACAGCAGACUAUUCCACAGGCAACUGAAUAUGUACUAUUGUACAAGGCUAAACUAAGACAAUAAUUUAUCCCCUUCAGAUGCACUUUUCAUGUUCCCUAUCCGAUGCAAGUAAGUUUCUGCUUCUCAUACUUCCAAAGAACCAAGCAGAGCAAAUCCUUUACUGAAGAAUACAGGUCACUUCUGAAAGAACCAAUACGCCAAGACAAAUUUUGGAAGCACAGUUCAAUGCUGCUUCUUCCCUGUUGCUCCUUCCCAGGCUUGUAAAAUAUGGUUCACAAUUUCCUCUACACCAAGUCCAUGCUUAAUCUGAGCAAAGACAAAUGGCCCACCAUCCCGAAUUCUAAGUGCAUCACGCUCCAUGACUGCCAAGUCAGCUCCAACUGCCGGUGCAAGGUCAGUCUUAUUUAUAACAAGAAGAUCCGCUUGGGUAAUGCCAGGGCCACCCUUCCGAGGAAUUUUAUCACCACCAGAUACAUCUAUUAUAUAUAUGAUAUAGUCAGCCAAUUCCCUGCUAAAGUUGGCAGCUAAAUUAUCUCCACCGGAUUCACAAAGUAGUAAGUCUGCUUUGAAUAAUUUGGAAAGCUCCUCAAGAGGGCCAAGGUUAAUGCUGAUAUCUUCACGAAUUGCAGCAUGAGGACAGCCUCCAGUUUCCACAGCUCGUAUCCUUUCUUCAGGUAGUGCUCCAUGCUUAAUCAAGAAUUCACCAUCCUCCUUUGUGAAUAUAUCAUUAGUCACUGCAGCAAGACUGUACUUGUCCCGCAAGAAUUUGCAUAUAGCCAACAUUAAAGCGGUUUUCCCAGUACCAACAGGACCACCAAUACCAACAGUGAAAGCUCUUUCAUUGAAAUCCCUAGUGAGGAUUGGUGGAGCUCUUCUGCUGAAGUAGCCAGGAGAGUAAAUGGGUUCAUGAGAGUGAGGCGCUAACCCAUCGUGGCUGUGAUACACUCUUCCUUCUGGGCCUACCCACGACGUCGUUUGAUCAUGGGUAUGGUGAUGGUGGUCAUUGUCAUGAUCGUGGUGAUGGUAGUCGUGGGUAUGGUGACCGUGCGAAGCCAUUAACUCUAGUCCGCAAAGGUUUUGCUCAAUCGAGUGGAUCACCUUGGUAGCUGGUGAGCACAUGUAGAAGAUAAGGAUGAUUCAAGCUCAGUCACAAUGACAAAUAUACCCCUGAUUUCGAGCUUGAUCAGAUUCUUGUUUUCCUCGGACUGAUUAGAGAGAGAAUUGUUC
RNAcentral lists this unclassified non-coding RNA (1332 nucleotides) under Hevea brasiliensis (rubber tree). Lineage: Eukaryota; Viridiplantae; Streptophyta; Magnoliopsida; Malpighiales; Euphorbiaceae. The record is from RNAcentral.